CAACCGUUGGAAACGACGGCUAAUUCCCCAUGUGCCGCAAGGUGAAACGGGUUUCCGCCAGAAGAAGAGCUCGCGUCCGAUUAGUUAGUUGGUGAGGUAAARGCUCACCAAGGCAGCGAUCGGUAGCUGGUCUGAGAGGAUGAGCAGCCACACUGGGACUGAGACACGGCCCAGACUCCUACGGGAGGCAGCAGUGGGGAAUUUUCCGCAAUGGGCGCAAGCCUGACGGAGCAACGCCGCGUGUGGGAAGAAGGCUCUUGGGCUGUCAACCACUUUUCUCAGGGAAGAAGUYCUGACGGUACCUGAGGAAUCAGCCUCGGCUAACUCCGUGCCAGCAGCCGCGGUAAUACGGAGGAGGCAAGCGUUAUCCGGAAUUAUUGGGCGUAAAGCGUCCGCAGGGGGCGCAUCAAGUCUGCUGUCAAAGGUCGGAGCUUAACUCCGGUUCGGCAGUGGAAACUGGUGCGCUAGAGGGCGACAGGGGUAGAGGGAAUUCCCAGUGUAGCGGUGAAAUGCGUAGAGAUUGGGAAGAACACCGGUGGCGAAAGCGCUCUACUGGGUCGCACCUGA
RNAcentral lists this ribosomal RNA (567 nucleotides) under Euhalothece sp. 'MPI 96AL03'. RNAcentral describes it as "bacterial SSU rRNA". It matches the Rfam family "Bacterial small subunit ribosomal RNA", at positions 144 to 743 of the family's 1533-position model. Lineage: Bacteria; Bacillati; Cyanobacteriota; Cyanophyceae; Chroococcales; Halothecacae. The record is from RNAcentral.